This 266-nucleotide long non-coding RNA is filed under the name Mustela putorius furo (domestic ferret). Its description in RNAcentral is "lncRNA (ENSMPUG00000031487.1)". The record is from RNAcentral. Lineage: Eukaryota; Metazoa; Chordata; Mammalia; Carnivora; Mustelidae.
GCUGCUUUCAACUGACAGCUCUUUCAGGCCAAUCUCUUAAAAUGCCAGCUGCUUCAAAAGUGGCAGAAUUAAUCCAUGUGUUCAUCUGCAAGCUUAAAAUAUUGUACCCUUUCCUUCACUGGUGUGUGUCAGCACAAAGUGUCAGCCUCAUGUAUUGGAUCAUGAACCAAAUUCAAUACCUGCUCAUAAUACCUAUGGAAAUGAUACCAUAUAUACCUGGAUUCACAUCCCACUUUAUUCUACUUGGGACCAGGUGAGAGAGCUCU